UUUUUCCUACGGGGCGCAGCAGUGGGGAAUAUUGCGCAAUGGGCGAAAGCCUGACGCAGCGACGCCGCGUGAGGGAUGAAGGUUCUCGGAUCGUAAAUCUCUGUCAGAAGGGAAGAAAUUAUAUCAUGCUAAUCAGUGGUGUAUUGACGGUACCUUCAAAGGAAGCACCGGCUAACUCCGUGCCAGCAGCCGCGGUAAUACGGAGGGUGCGAGCGUUAAUCGGAAUUACUGGACGUAAAGCGCACGUAGGCUGUAUGACAAGUCAAGGGUGAAAUGCCACGGCUCAACCGUUGAACUGCCUUUGA
This 305-nucleotide ribosomal RNA is filed under the name uncultured bacterium. Its description in RNAcentral is "bacterial SSU rRNA". It matches the Rfam family "Bacterial small subunit ribosomal RNA", at positions 333 to 630 of the family's 1533-position model. The record is from RNAcentral.